ACCCUGUGCGCAUGGAAGGGCCCGACUUUGCCCUGGGUCGUCGAGGGCUGGGGGGGCGGUGAAGGAGGAUGGCUUGCCUACGCGGAGGGGGCUAAGCAUCAUUCAAUAGUAUUCAUUCGAUAGUACUUACUGAGUGCCUACUCUGUGCGGAGCACCGUGCUAAGCGCUUGGAAUGGACAAUUGGGCAACGGAUAGGGACAAUCGCUGCCCCACGACGGGCUUCCAGUCUAAACGGGGGAGAUGGCCAGCGAAGCAAGAGUGAGGCCGAUGUUGUUAACCGUGCCCAUCGACGCGACCAUUCGGGCUCCCGCCCCUUCAGCCCCAUCCCCACCUCAGGCGCCUACGCCAUUAGGCCGCCACCGCGCGCGCGCCCCGCCCUCUUUCCCGCCUUCCGCGUCUGCCCCGACCGUUGGGGCGGGGAACGGCCCCCGCCGGACAGGCGCCGUGUCUCGCGACCUGUUGGUCGGGGGGAGGGCCGCGCUCACGUGAUCCGAAAGCCUGCCUCGCGCAGGGCCGCGCGCCGUAGUGAGAGGGGCACGUGACGCCCCCACCCAGCCGGCGGAGGGGGAGGGGAGCGGGUGUUCUGGCGCGCGCGCCGCCGCGCGCCCUCCCUCCCUCCCCGUGGCUCCCGGGGCCGCGCCGUCCGCUGGGAUGGGAUUUUCCCUGCUGGGCCGGGAACGAUCGGGAUCUGGCGUUGGGAUAAGCUCUAGAUCGGAAGCGGUGUGGCCUAGUGGCCCGGGAGGCGGAAGGUCAGGGGUUCCAAUCCCGGCUCUGCCCCUGGGCCGCUGUGGGUCCUCGGCCAAGUCGCUUGACGUCUCUGGGCCUCGGUUACUUCAGCCGGAAAGUGGGGGUGGAGACCGUGAGCCCCACGUGGGACAGGGACCGUCUCCAACCCGAUCCACCUAG
RNAcentral lists this long non-coding RNA (906 nucleotides) under Ornithorhynchus anatinus (platypus). RNAcentral describes it as "lncRNA (ENSOANG00000044732.1)". The record is from RNAcentral. Lineage: Eukaryota; Metazoa; Chordata; Mammalia; Monotremata; Ornithorhynchidae.